AGUGAACGCUGGCGGUAGGCCUAACACAUGCAAGUCGAACGGCAGCACAGUAAGAGCUUGCUCUUACGGGUGGCGAGUGGCGUACGGGUGAGGAAUACAUCGGAAUCUACUUUUGCGUGGGGGGUAACGUAGGGAAACUUACGCUAAUACCGCAUACGACCUACGAGUGAAAGCAUGGGAUCUUCGGACCUUGCGCGAUUGAAUGAGCCGAUGUCGGAUUAGCUAGUUGGCGGGGUAAAGGCCCACCAAGGCUACGAUCCGUAGCUGGUCUGCGAGGAUGCUCAGCCACACUGGAACAGAGAGACGGUCCAGACUCCUACGGGAGGCAGCAGGGGGGAAUAUUGGACAAUGGGCGAAAGCCAGAUCCAGCCAUACCGAGUGGGUGAAGAAGGCCUUCGGGGUGUAAAGCCAUUUUGUUGGGAAAGAAAAGCAGCAGGUUAAUACCCCGCUGUUCUGACGGUACCCACAGAAUAAGCACCGGCUAGGUUCGUG
This 492-nucleotide ribosomal RNA is filed under the name uncultured bacterium. Its description in RNAcentral is "partial 16S ribosomal RNA". It matches the Rfam family "Bacterial small subunit ribosomal RNA", at positions 29 to 507 of the family's 1533-position model. The record is from RNAcentral.